This 432-nucleotide ribosomal RNA is filed under the name uncultured bacterium. RNAcentral describes it as "partial 16S ribosomal RNA". It matches the Rfam family "Bacterial small subunit ribosomal RNA", at positions 29 to 507 of the family's 1533-position model. The record is from RNAcentral.
ACGAACGCUGGCGGCAGGCUUCACACAUGCAAGUCGAGCGAGACCUUCGGGUCUAGCGGCGGACGGGUGAGUAACGCGUGGGAACGUGCCCUUCUCUACGGAAUAGCCCCGGGAAACUGGGAGUAAUACCGUAUACGCCCUUUGGGGGAAAGAUUUAUCGGAGAAGGAUCGGCCCGCGUUGGAUUAGGUAGUUGGUGGGGUAAUGGCCCACCAAGCCGACGAUCCAUAGCUGGUUUGAGAGGAUGAUCAGCCACACUGGGACUGAGACACGGCCCAGACUCCUACGGGAGGCAGCAGUGGGGAAUCUUAGACAAUGGGGGCAACCCUGAUCUAGCCAUGCCGCGUGAGUGAUGAAGGCCUUAGGGUUGUAAAGCUCUUUCAGCUGGGAAGAUAAUGACGGUACCAGCAGAAGAAGCCCCGGCUAACUCCGUG